GGAGAGCACUCCUACGGGAGGCAGCAGUGGGGAAUAUUGCACAAUGGGCGCAAGCCUGAUGCAGCCAUGCCGCGUGUAUGAAGAAGGCCUUCGGGUUGUAAAGUACUUUCAGCAGUGAGGAAGGUGGGUAUGUUAAUAGCAUAUUCAUUUGACGUUAGCUGCAGAAGAAGCACCGGCUAACUCCGUGCCAGCAGCCGCGGUAAUACGGAGGGUGCGAGCGUUAAUCGGAAUUACUGGGCGUAAAGCGCAUGCAGGUGGUUUGUUAAGUCAGAUGUGAAAGCCCGGGGCUCAACCUCGGAAUUGCAUUUGAAACUGGCAAACUAGAGUACUGUAGAGGGGGUAGAAUUUCAGGUGUAGCGGUGAAAUGCGUAGAGAUCUGAAGGAAUACCGGUGGCGAAGGCGGCCCCCUGGACAGAUACUGACACUCAGAUGCGAAAGCGUGGGGAGCAAACAGGAUUAGAUACCAUGGUAG
This 472-nucleotide ribosomal RNA is filed under the name uncultured bacterium. RNAcentral describes it as "bacterial SSU rRNA". It matches the Rfam family "Bacterial small subunit ribosomal RNA", at positions 328 to 793 of the family's 1533-position model. The record is from RNAcentral.